AUUUGGUCCCAGUGCACUGGGAUCACAACCAGUUACAGACUCUUUUGUUCAUUCUCCACUCCCACUGCUUCACUUGACUAGCCUAAA
This 87-nucleotide Y RNA is filed under the name Otolemur garnettii (small-eared galago). It matches the Rfam family "Y RNA". Rfam says of the family: Y RNAs are components of the Ro ribonucleoprotein particle (Ro RNP), in association with Ro60 and La proteins. The Y RNAs and Ro60 and La proteins are well conserved, but the function of the Ro RNP is not known. In humans the RNA component can be one of four small RNAs -- hY1, hY3, hY4 and hY5. The record is from Rfam by way of RNAcentral. Lineage: Eukaryota; Metazoa; Chordata; Mammalia; Primates; Galagidae.